UCUCUGGAGGACUAGCGGUUAGGCCACGGUGCUCUCACCGCUGCGGCCCGAGUUCGAUUCACGGCCAGGGAA
Molecule: transfer RNA, 72 nt
Filed under: Pangasianodon hypophthalmus (striped catfish)
Lineage: Eukaryota; Metazoa; Chordata; Actinopteri; Siluriformes; Pangasiidae
Description: tRNA-Glu
Rfam family: tRNA
About the family: Transfer RNA (tRNA) molecules are approximately 80 nucleotides in length.
Source: RNAcentral